AACGAACGCUGGCGGCAGGCCUAACACAUGCAAGUCGAGCGAAGCCUUCGGGCUUAGCGGCGGACGGGUGAGUAACGCGUGGGAACGUGCCCUUUGGUACGGAAUAGCCCCGGGAAACUGGGAGUAGUACCGUAUGUGGUCGAGAGACGAAAGAUUUAUCGCCAAAGGAUCGGCCCGCGUUGGAUUAGGUAGUUGGUGGGGUAAUGGCCUACCAAGCCGACGAUCCAUAGCUGGUUUGAGAGGAUGAUCAGCCACACUGGGACUGAGACACGGCCCAGACUCCUGCGGGAGGCAGCAGUGGGGAAUCUUAGACAAUGGGGGAAACCCUGAUCUAGCCAUGCCGCGUGAUCGAUGAAGGCCUUAGGGUUGUAAAGAUCUUUCAGUGGGGAAGAUAAUGACUGUACCCACAGAAGAAGCCCCGGCUAACUCCGUGCCAGCAGCCGCCGUAA
Molecule: ribosomal RNA, 449 nt
Filed under: uncultured bacterium
Lineage: Bacteria
Description: partial 16S ribosomal RNA
Rfam family: Bacterial small subunit ribosomal RNA
Source: RNAcentral